Molecule: ribosomal RNA, 374 nt
Filed under: uncultured eukaryote
Lineage: Eukaryota
Description: partial 18S ribosomal RNA
Rfam family: Eukaryotic small subunit ribosomal RNA
Source: RNAcentral
UAAUAGUGUAUAUUAAAGUUGUUGCAGUUAAAAAGCUCGUAGUUGAAUGUUGGUGUCGAACGAGCGGUCAGCUUCGGCUGUACUGCUCUCUCGACUCCUUCCUUCUGUGGACUACGUCGCACUUUACUGUGUGGCGCUAGGACGCAGCUCGUUUACUGUGAAAAAAUUAGAGUGUUCAAAGCAGGCCGUACGCUUGAAUACAUUAGCAUGGAAUAAUGGAAUAGGACGUCGGGCCUAUUUUGUUGGUUCUAGGACCGUCGUAAUGAUUAAUAGGGACAGUUGGGGCCGUUUAUAUUCCGUAGUCAGAGGUGAAAUUCUUGGAUUUACGGAAGAUAAACUACUGCGAAAGCAUUCGGCAAGGAUGUUUUCGUUAA